RNAcentral lists this unclassified non-coding RNA (353 nucleotides) under soil metagenome. RNAcentral's name for it is "partial contains 5.8S ribosomal RNA, internal transcribed spacer 2, and large subunit ribosomal RNA". The stretch from base 1 to 120 matches the Rfam family "5.8S ribosomal RNA", at positions 35 to 154 of the family's 154-position model. The record is from RNAcentral.
GAUGAAGAACGCAGCGAAAUGCGAUAAGUAAUGUGAAUUGCAGAAUUCAGUGAAUCAUCGAAUCUUUGAACGCACAUUGCGCCCGCCAGUAUUCUGGCGGGCCUGCCUGUUCGAGCGUCAUUACAACCCUCAGGCCCCCGGGCCUGGCGUUGGGGAUCGGCGGAAGCCCCCUGCGGGCACAACGCCGUCCCCCAAAUACAGUGGCGGUCCCGCCGCAGCUUCCAUUGCGUAGUAGCUAACACCUCGCAACUGGAGAGCGGCGCGGCCACGCCGUAAAACACCCAACUUCUGAAUGUUGACCUCGAAUCAGGUAGGAAUACCCGCUGAACUUAAGCAUAUCAAUAAGCGGAGGA